AGAGUUUGAUUAUGGCUCAGGAUGAACGUUGGCGGCGUGCCUAAUACAUGCAAGUCGAACGAAGAAUUCAAUGUAGCAAUACGCUGAAUUUCUUAGUGGCGAACGGGUGAGUAACGCGUUGGUGACCUACCCCAAAGAGAGGGAUAACAGUUCGAAAGGAUUGCUAAUACCUCAUGUUAUCGUUUGGAUUAGAUGCCUUACGAUUAAAGGAGCUUGCUCCACUUUGGGAGGGGCCUGCGUACCAUCAGCUAGUUGGUAGGGUAAUGGCCUACCAAGGCUAUGACGGUUAGGGGACCUGAGAGGGUGGCCCCCCACAAUGGAACUGAAACACGGUCCAUACACCUACGGGUGGCAGCAGUAGGGAAUAUUGGUAAUGUGCGAAAGCGCGAACCAGCAACGCCGCGUGUGCGAAGAAGGCCUUCGGGUUGUAAAGCACUUUUCGGGAGGAAGAGGAAGGACUGUACUCCCGGAAUAAGUCUCGGCUAACUACGUGCCAGCAGCCGCGGUAAUACGUAGGAGGCUAACGUUAUCCGGAUUUACUGGGCGUAAAGCGCGUGUAGGCGGUUCGGUAAGUUGGACGUGAAAGCUCCCGGCUCAACUGGGAGAGGUCGUUCAAUACUGUCGGACUAGAGGAUGGUAGAGGGAGGUGGAAUUCCGGGUGUAGUGGUGAAAUGCGCAGAUAUCCGGAGGAACACCAGUGGCGAAGGCGGCCUCCUGGACCACUCCUGACGCUCAGACGCGAAAGCUAGGGUAGCGAACGGGAUUAGAUACCCUGGUAGUC
This 781-nucleotide ribosomal RNA is filed under the name uncultured Anaerolineaceae bacterium. RNAcentral describes it as "bacterial SSU rRNA". It matches the Rfam family "Bacterial small subunit ribosomal RNA", at positions 8 to 795 of the family's 1533-position model. Lineage: Bacteria; Bacillati; Chloroflexota; Anaerolineae; Anaerolineales; Anaerolineaceae. The record is from RNAcentral.